UUGAAAAAACGCGCCGUGACAGAUUACCACGAAACAAAAAGAAGUUAUAUGAUUGGUUCUGUGAUUGUUUGGAGUUGUAGUCACUUGUUAUAGAUUUAAUAGCAGUGAUUUAUGAGAUGUUGAGCCGGAACAAUCAAAACUGGCUUUGAUACCCCACGAUUUGCGAUAAUGGCCUUGGAAAUAUCACUUCAUGGAGUUAUUUCCUGUUUGGCGGAACACGGAACACAUCAGAUGAGUUAUGACGCCAUUUGGAACCCCAAAGGAACAGUAUCUGAUAUACUCGACUAAGCCGUUUGCAGCAGGUGCCGUCGGAUCAACAUGGAAGGAUGCAUCAAGCGAUAUACCUAUCGCUAUCACCGCCAGAUUGAGAGGUCUACCAAAACAGCUAGAAAAUUCUUCUCCCGAAAAAAACAUAGUCGCAACAUACUGUUUAUGUGAAAGAAGAUUUCAAUUCAUUAAAUUUAUUUAUUAAAAUGU
Molecule: long non-coding RNA, 477 nt
Organism: Armigeres subalbatus
Lineage: Eukaryota; Metazoa; Arthropoda; Insecta; Diptera; Culicidae
Exons: 3
Source: RefSeq, a predicted model, not a curated record